Molecule: ribosomal RNA, 261 nt
Filed under: uncultured prokaryote
Description: partial 16S ribosomal RNA
Rfam family: Bacterial small subunit ribosomal RNA
Source: RNAcentral
UACGUAGGUGGCAAGCGUUGUCCGGAUUUAUUGGGCGUAAAGCGAGCGCAGGCGGUUCCUUAAGUCUGAUGUGAAAGCCCACGGCUCAACCGUGGAAGGUCAUUGGAAACUGGGGAACUUGAGUGCAGAAGAGGAGAGUGGAAUUCCAUGUGUAGCGGUGAAAUGCGUAGAUAUAUGGAGGAACACCAGUGGCGAAGGCGACCCUCUGGUCUGUAACUGACACUGAGGCACGAAAGCGUGGGGAGCAAACAGGAUUAGAUA